Long non-coding RNA from Asparagus officinalis (garden asparagus), 692 nucleotides. RefSeq lists it as uncharacterized. The transcript is spliced from 3 exons. The record is from RefSeq and is a predicted model, not a curated record. Lineage: Eukaryota; Viridiplantae; Streptophyta; Magnoliopsida; Asparagales; Asparagaceae.
AAGCUUCACCGUUUCAUCUGUUACGAAUUUCCUCCGGUAUGAUUAUUAUGGUCAUCAAUAUGCUUAUUAUUAUCCUCAUCAUCCACAAUCCUUCUCUUCCCUCUUCUUCCACCUCAAAACCCCAACCCUAAUCCCCUCCCUGCGCCUCCUCCCCUCCUUCACCCGCCUCCUCUCCUUCGUCACCCCCGAAGAGCCCGCUUCCGAGAGCCGCCGCCGCAAGCGCCGCCUCCGCAUCGAACCUCCCCUCUCCUUCCUCCGCCAGCCUCAACAGCAGCGCAUCCCCUCCAAAACCCCUAUAAAUCCUAACACCCCUAAGGUCCCCGAACCCCUCUCCACCCUCGCCGGCAAACGACUCAGCCUCCACAACAAGAUCCUAAACCUAAUCCGGGUCAACGAUCUCGAUGAGGCCUCGCUUUUGGUCCAUCACUCGAAUAAUUUCUGGCAUAUUUUUCGCUUCCGGAAGGAAUUGCUACUGCUGCUGGUUUGAUUGCUAUGAUGACUGACCACUACAAAAUUCUGGAAGGCAGUGACAGCGAGCAUGAAAGCAAUGAUGUAGCAAGAACAUCUCGCAGACCACAGAAGCGUGCUCGGGGUAAGUAUCGUCUCAUGUCAAAGGGUCCUGAUGGUCCUUGUCCAGAUCUGUUGCAACUUCAAUCUGCCUCAUCAAGUUAUGCAUGCAUGUCUUUAUUGAA